This 425-nucleotide ribosomal RNA is filed under the name uncultured bacterium. RNAcentral's name for it is "bacterial SSU rRNA". It matches the Rfam family "Bacterial small subunit ribosomal RNA", at positions 29 to 500 of the family's 1533-position model. The record is from RNAcentral.
AACGAACGCUGGCGGCAUGCCUAACACAUGCAAGUCGAACGAGACCUUCGGGUCUAGUGGCGCACGGGUGCGUAACGCGUGGGAAUCUGCCCUCGGGUCCGGAAUAACUCAGAGAAAUUUGAGCUAAUACCGGAUGAUGACGUAAGCCCAAAGAUUUAUCGCCCAGGGAUGAGCCCGCGUAGGAUUAGCUAGUUGGUGAGGUAAAGGCUCACCAAGGCGACGAUCCUUAGCGGUCUGAGAGGAUGAUCAGCCACACUGGGACUGAGACACGGCCCAGACUCCUACGGGAGGCAGCAGUGGGGAAUAUUGGACAAUGGGCGAAAGCCUGAUCCAGCAAUGCCGCGUGAGUGAUGAAGGCCUUAGGGUUGUAAAGCUCUUUUACCCGGGAUGAUAAUGACAGUACCGGGAGAAUAAGCCCCGGCUAA